GUAGGUGGCAAGCGUUGUCCGGAAUUAUUGGGCGUAAAGCGCGCGCAGGUGGUUCUUUAAGUCUGAUGUGAAAGCCCACGGCUCAACCGUGGAGGGUCAUUGGAAACUGGAGAACUUGAGUACAGAAGAGGAAAGCGGAAUUCCACGUGUAGCGGUGAAAUGCGUAGAGAUGUGGAGGAACACCAGUGGCGAAGGCGGCUUUCUGGUCUGUAACUGACGCUGAGGCGCGAAAGCGUGGGGAGCAAACAGGGAUUAGAUACCCUGGUAGUCCACGCCGUAAACGAUGAGUGCUAAGUGUUAGGGGGUUUCCGCCCCCUUAGUGCUGCAGCUAACGCAUUAAGCACUCCGCCUGGGGAGUACGGCCGCAAGGCUG
This 373-nucleotide ribosomal RNA is filed under the name uncultured organism. RNAcentral's name for it is "partial 16S ribosomal RNA". It matches the Rfam family "Bacterial small subunit ribosomal RNA", at positions 527 to 896 of the family's 1533-position model. The record is from RNAcentral.